UACGGAGGGGGCUAGCGUUGUUCGGAAUUACUGGGCGUAAAGGGCGCGUAGGCGGCGCGGUCAGUUGGGUGUGAAAGGCCCGGGCUCAACCCGGGAUGUGCGCUCGAUACUACCGCGCUGGAGUCCGGGAGAGGAUGGCGGAAUUCCCAGUGUAGAGGUGAAAUUCGUAGAUAUUGGGAAGAACACCGGUGGCGAAGGCGGCCAUCUGGACCGGCACUGACGCUGAGGCGCGAAAGCGUGGGGAGCAAACAGG
Molecule: ribosomal RNA, 253 nt
Filed under: uncultured bacterium
Lineage: Bacteria
Description: partial 16S ribosomal RNA
Rfam family: Bacterial small subunit ribosomal RNA
Source: RNAcentral